AGUCAACAGAAACUGGUAGUGGGGAAACCAGGCCAGUACCAGGGCUUAUAUAGGGUUACAAGCAGAAGUCAAGUCCAGAUAGUCCAAACCCCAAAGAGGAAAAAACCAAACAAUCCUGAGUAUAGUCCAAUGCCAAAAAUUGCUCACUAAUAUAGCUAGAAAUUUUAGUCCAAGAAUACAUGCCAAGAUUAGAGAUCCAGAAAGUUCAGGCUAGGUUGCAUGGGUAUUCUGGAGCUGUUGUUCAGAAGCAAUGGAAUGGCUUGGGCUGGACUGAUUUAUAGCCACCAGUCAAUCAGCCCAGCUGGCCUUAAUAACAUCAUGUAUUUAAAGUUGAGCAGGCCAUUGCCUGACCUAUUAUUCACAGUGCUUUAAUUUAUGACAGUUGGCAGGAUGAAGUGCCUCUACCAUCUUCUCCUGAUCUGCAGUUGAUGCCGGGGAUUGAUCAAGCUCUGUCUGAGCCAGUGGCAUAACAGGACUGCUUGCCUCUUUUGUUUCCAACUGGAGCCUGCCAUCUUAGCACUCCUCUUUUCCUUGAUCAUCUAAGGAGGCCUCCUCCAGUAGUCAAGGUCUGCUGUACCAGCUUAGGAUCUCCAUUGCCCCAUCCCGGAUUUGUCACUUUUGAUUUGCUGUCCCUCACUCCUGGAACCAUCUUCCCCCAUGAACACAGGUCACCACUUCAUUGAUGACUAUUAAAUCUGAGUUGAAGACCAACCUGUUAAAGGCGCAAUGUCUGAUUGCUCUGAUGCACAUAAGUGGCAGGGGGAUCACUUUGAGACCUGUGGAAAUGUAGGAUUUAAUAGCCUCACUGGGAGUCAAAAAGCAGAUGUGACUGACCACGUGACCGUUUGUGGGCGG
Sceloporus undulatus (fence lizard) is the source of this 855-nucleotide long non-coding RNA. RefSeq lists it as uncharacterized. The record is from RefSeq and is a predicted model, not a curated record. The transcript is spliced from 3 exons. Lineage: Eukaryota; Metazoa; Chordata; Lepidosauria; Squamata; Phrynosomatidae.